GACGAACGCUGGCGGCGUGCCUAAUACAUGCAAGUUGAGCGCUGAAGGUUGGUACUUGUACCAACUGGAUGAGCAGCGAACGGGUGAGUAACGCGUGGGGAAUCUGCCUUUGAGCGGGGGACAACAUUUGGAAACGAAUGCUAAUACCGCAUAAAAACUUUAAACACAAGUUUUAAGUUUGAAAGAUGCAAUUGCAUCACUCAAAGAUGAUCCCGCGUUGUAUUAGCUAGUUGGUGAGGUAAAGGCUCACCAAGGCGAUGAUACAUAGCCGACCUGAGAGGGGGAUCGGCCAAAUUGGGACGGAGACCAGGCCCAAACUCCUACGGGAGGCAGCAGUAGGGAAUCUUCGGCAAUGGACGAAAGUCUGACCGAGCAACGCCGCGUGGGUGAAGAAGGUUUUCGGAUCGUAAAACUCUGUUGGUAGAGAAGAACGUUGGUGAGAGUGGAAAGCUCAUCAAGUGACGGUAACUACCCAGAAAGGGACGGCUAACUACGUG
Molecule: ribosomal RNA, 497 nt
Filed under: uncultured bacterium
Lineage: Bacteria
Description: partial 16S ribosomal RNA
Rfam family: Bacterial small subunit ribosomal RNA
Source: RNAcentral